Molecule: ribosomal RNA, 254 nt
Filed under: uncultured bacterium
Lineage: Bacteria
Description: partial 16S ribosomal RNA
Rfam family: Bacterial small subunit ribosomal RNA
Source: RNAcentral
UACGGAGGGUGCGAGCGUUGUCCGGAAUCAUUGGGCGUAAAGGGCGCGUAGGUGGCCACUUCAAGCGUGCGGUGAAAGUCGGGGGCUCAACCCCUGAUCGGCCGUGCGAACUGGGGGGCUGGAGCACUGUAGAGGCAGGCGGAAUUCCGGGUGUAGCGGUGGAAUGCGUAGAGAUCAGGAGGAACACCGGUGGCGAAGGCGGGUCUCUGGGCAAUAACUGACGCUGAGGAGCGAAAGCGUGGGGAGCGAACAGG